AGAGAGGCCAAGCAGGAACAAUAAUGACCUAUUUUGUACUUUUCUUAGGGCUGUGCUUUGUUUUGGGAGUGUUAGCAAUUGCAUCUAACCCAUCACCAUAUUCUGAACAGCCUUGCUGUCAGUGACACGCAACUGGAGUUUCAAGACACUACAAAAGUAUUAUGAGAUCGAACACUGGUUUAUGGAAGAUAUGAAACAAUGUCUCCUCACAUCUGAGCUACAUCUGGAUCUGUAGAAAUUGAAAGGUCUUUUACCUCAAAAUG
This is a non-coding RNA of Lonchura striata (white-rumped munia), 263 nucleotides long. The record is from RefSeq and is a predicted model, not a curated record. NCBI's taxonomy places the organism in Eukaryota, Metazoa, Chordata, Aves, Passeriformes, Estrildidae.